RNAcentral lists this ribosomal RNA (253 nucleotides) under uncultured bacterium. RNAcentral describes it as "partial 16S ribosomal RNA". It matches the Rfam family "Bacterial small subunit ribosomal RNA", at positions 524 to 776 of the family's 1533-position model. The record is from RNAcentral.
UACGUAGGGUGCAAGCGUUGUCCGGAAUUAUUGGGCGUAAAGAGCUCGUAGGCGGUUCGUACAGUCAGACGUGAAAUUCCUGGGCUCAACCUGGGGGCUGCGUUUGAUACGUGCGGACUUGAGUGCGGAAGAGGGUCGUGGAAUUCCCAGUGUAGAGGUGAAAUUCGUAGAUAUUGGGAAGAACACCGGUGGCGAAGGCGGCGACCUGGUCCGAUACUGACGCUGAGGCGCGAAAGCGUGGGGAGCAAACAGG